AUCUCCAUACGCCCAGUACACUGCUGCUGCUGCAGAUGGAAGCUUCAAUGUCAGCACACAAAGAAUUGGAACGUAGGAGUAACACAAUAGUGAGGUACCAGGCCGUGUACGUGGUCAUUAACAAGCCGAGGAACGACCAAUUCGGUAGUUGGGGAAAGAAGGCAGGAAUAAAGUAGUUGCACAACAUGCUCCAAAGAUGUAAGUCCAAGUUCUUUUGUCCAAAUUGUCAUUUAUGCAAUAUAUGUUAUUGAAUCACAAAGAAAAUGUUAGUUUUUUAUUUUUUGGUGCCUUAUUUAUGUGUCAAAAGACUAAAUAUUUAUGCCUUGCACAAGCUAUGAGCACAGAUCCAAACAGAAGAAAAGUGCAGUUAAAUGCCAAUCCUAUAUUUCUCCAGUGUUUUCCAAGAAGCCCAUCAAGAACUUCGAGCCACUGUAUCAACGUGUUCGGUGUACAGUAUUAGAUUGGAUCGAGACAGUGUAAUAACAACAUAAAAACUAAGAAAAUUGAAAACCUGAAUAACAUGAUUUCUAAAAUCAACUUUUUCUCUUUCUUUACUGGUUCUGUACCCUACAUAGAGAACACUAAUAAUAUGUGCAGCCCAACUGCCCAUUAAACCAUAAAAGAGCUGAAAAAGAAUCCCAGAGAGCAUUCCCAGAUGAGAAAAUGAGUAUGGUAAAGUGAACUGCACUUGAGCCACCUGAAAGCGUACAAG
This is a long non-coding RNA of Olea europaea var. sylvestris, 712 nucleotides long. RefSeq lists it as uncharacterized. The record is from RefSeq and is a predicted model, not a curated record. Lineage: Eukaryota; Viridiplantae; Streptophyta; Magnoliopsida; Lamiales; Oleaceae. The transcript is spliced from 2 exons.